This 1068-nucleotide long non-coding RNA is filed under the name Aquila chrysaetos chrysaetos. RNAcentral's name for it is "lncRNA (ENSACCG00020011363.1)". The record is from RNAcentral. Lineage: Eukaryota; Metazoa; Chordata; Aves; Accipitriformes; Accipitridae.
UUUGAGUCCUCAGCCAGAAGUCCUGCAACUGUUACACAAGACCCAGAGGCAAAUGUGUGGUUUGCUGUGAGAACGUAGUCCGAUCAGGGAACAGCCUGUUGAGGAAGGAGUCUUGGGCCUCAAGACACGUGAAAUGAUCCCUGACUGCAUGUGACAAGCUCUGAAAGCCAGAAAGGAAGUGUCAGACUGCAGAGCAGGAAGAAUCAGAAGUGAAAGAACAUGCAUCUGAUAACUCAAAAUGUGAUUGAAAUGGUGUGCCCAAUCAACAACAAAGAACCUCUGAAAAAAGAAUUGGCAUUUGAAAAGAAUUUGGAGAACUUCAUCAGAGCAGAACUUGAAUUAAAGUGACAGAUAACAUGCAUCUUUCUGAAGUACCAUGCUAUCAUAUAACUUUUGAUAAAUAUAGGUCUUUGUUUUGGCUUUUGUGAAGUCACAUGACUUUUAAUUCCUCUCUCUUACUGAAGCUGCAAUGAUUAAAAGAUUAUAAUUGAAAGUGGAAGCAAUAAACCUCUCCAUAAAUCUUCUUUAAACUUACAGAUGUAACUAUCCUGAGGUCUUACUUAAUGCAAAAUACUUAAUACAAAAAAUUCCACUAAGGCCUUGAGCCAUAAAAAGUAGGUAUUUUCACACGAUUCCUUUGUAGACACUAAAUCUAAUUAAUUGAUUUAUAGUUCUAGAGCAGCUUCUUACUGGAAAUCUAAAGAAACUCAGAGAGUGAAUGAAACUUGACAAAUAACAGCAUUUUCAAGACAGUUUUGUGCAAAGAAUUUAUUCUUUCACAACAAAGGGCCAUAAAGAGCAUCCUUUUCUUUAGUAUGAUAAAUUAUCUUUCUGUAAUAAUAAUAAAAAAAUCACAUUGCUGUGUUCCUUUAAGUUACAUUACUAAGUAAGUGCUAAUUAUUCCCUUUGCCAUUGUCUGAACAUCCUGAGCCAUUUACAACAGAAAUGGAGAAGCUGCUUGAAUAAAUGUUCUGUGUUUAAAUCACUGAGAAGGUAGUUAAAAAGCCAAAAGGAGUCCUUUUCAUGUGGGCGUGCUUAUAGACCAUAUCCCUUUGCAGUAAAUGGAGA